AAGUCGUAACAAGGUCUCCGUUGGUGGACCAGCGGAGGGAUCAUUACAGAGUUGCAAACUCCUUAAACCAUCGCGAACGUACCCGUACCGUUGCUUCGGUGGGCGGCUCCAGGGCGGAGCCGAAGCCUUCACGGGCGCCCGCCGGAGGACCUAUACCUAACUAUUUAUCUCAACUGGCCUCUCUGAGUAUUUUAUAAUAAGUAAAA
Molecule: unclassified non-coding RNA, 206 nt
Filed under: plant metagenome
Description: partial contains small subunit ribosomal RNA and internal transcribed spacer 1
Rfam family: Eukaryotic small subunit ribosomal RNA (bases 1-46)
Source: RNAcentral